CCAGACUCCUACGGGAGGCAGCAGUCGGGAAUAUUGCGCAAUGGAGGAAACUCUGACGCAGUGACGCCGCGUAUAGGAAGAAGGUUUUCGGAUUGUAAACUAUUGUCGUUAGGGAAGAUAAAAGACAGUACCUAAGGAGGAAGCUCCGGCUAACUACGUGCCAGCAGCCGCGGUAAUACGUAGGGGGCAAGCGUUAUCCGGAUUUACUGGGUGUAAAGGGAGCGUAGACGGCGAUACAAGUCUGAAGUGAAAGCCCGGGGCUCAACCCCGGGACUGCUUUGGAAACUGUGUUGCUGGAGUGCUGGAGAGGCAAGCGGAAUUCCUAGUGUAGCGGUGAAAUGCGUAGAUAUUAGGAGGAACACCAGUGGCGAAGGCGGCUUACUGGACUGUAACUGACGUUGAGGCUCGAAAGCGUGGGGAGCAAACAGGAUUAGAUACCCUAGUAU
RNAcentral lists this ribosomal RNA (446 nucleotides) under uncultured bacterium. RNAcentral's name for it is "bacterial SSU rRNA". It matches the Rfam family "Bacterial small subunit ribosomal RNA", at positions 331 to 793 of the family's 1533-position model. The record is from RNAcentral.